AGAGAGAGACAGAACAUGUACUUUAUAAGGAGCCAGACAGAGACAACAGUCAUCAGCUCGUCGCAGUGCAACUACCAGCGCGCGGUCGGAGAGUUCUUCAGCGGCGCGUGCGCACCGGGCGCGCUGCACCACUCGCACACCAUCUCCGACGCUUCGGACCAAUUCGACGCCACGACCCUGUGUACGGCUUGCAGACCCAACCUCAGCGUACUCAACGGAACUGACGUUUCAAACUUCACCUGUGCCUUCAACUCCUCCAACCUGUUCUUCGGGAACCAAGGAUCCGUCAGCUGCCUCGCCAGCGAGCACACAGAUGUCGCUGUCGUCGAGUUGCAAAACAUUGACGCACAACUGCGAGCUCUGAACAUUGACGGCACGCGAUUCCGCGCGUUGUGCUCCAACAACACCCUGGCGCUGUUCCCUGGUACCAACAUCGAUGAUGGCUGCCUCAUCGCGCACGUGGUUGACGCUGAAGUCCUCACGAGAAGAAACGACCCAAUCUUCAACAGCAUCAACGUCUUCUUGGACGCGAUCGACGAGCAUUUCGGCUACAACGCUGUCUCUGAACAACUCAUCAACAUGCACAUCUACGAUCCCUUCGACGGGACCAGCGACCUUCUGUUCAAGGACUCCACCGUAGGCUUGACAGAACCUAACGUGUUCGUCUCCCAUCAACCGGCUAGGAACUACAUCAACUUAUUCACCCAUUUGGAGGCGUGCACCAGUGCAGCGACCACACCCACUCCUGGAAUUAUUCCGGGGGUGAAUGGUUUGGCCAAUAGGAAUAUUAUGUCAGUCAUGACCAUGGCAGUUAUGGGACUGAUGGCCAGAUUCGUGGUGUAUUAGCGAGUUUAGAGUAUGACCAACAGCACAUCAAGAAAGCAAUGUGGCAUCUUGUAGGUUGUAUUUAUAAGUCAAGCGCUUAAAUCAGUGCCAGGAGGGUGUUUUUGAGACGUUAGCGAGACUUCAGAUAUGCUCUACUAGCUUUCCGCCCACGGCUUCGCUU
This is an RNA transcript of Ostrinia furnacalis (Asian corn borer), 1006 nucleotides long. It is a transcript of the gene named otolith matrix protein 1-like, with no coding region annotated. The transcript has 6 exons. NCBI's taxonomy places the organism in Eukaryota, Metazoa, Arthropoda, Insecta, Lepidoptera, Crambidae. The record is from RefSeq and is a predicted model, not a curated record.